This 442-nucleotide ribosomal RNA is filed under the name uncultured bacterium. RNAcentral's name for it is "partial 16S ribosomal RNA". It matches the Rfam family "Bacterial small subunit ribosomal RNA", at positions 28 to 507 of the family's 1533-position model. The record is from RNAcentral.
GAUGAACGCUGGCGGCGUGCCUUAUACAUGCAAGUCGAGUGGGUUUAGACCCACGGCAAACGGGCGAGUAACACGUAGGUAUUUUCCUUGUCACAGGAAUAACCCUCCGAAAGGAGGGCUAAUACCUGAUGUGAUCGCAAGAUUAAAGGGUAUCCGCAAGGAUUACCGGACAAGAAGAGGCCUGCGGGCUAUCAGCUAGUUGGCGGGGUAAAUGCCCACCAAGGCUAUGACGGGUAGCUGGUCUUACGAGGAUGAUCAGUCACAUGGGCACUGAGACACGGGCCCAACUCCUACGGGAGGCAGCAGUAGGGAAUUUUGCGCAAUGGGCGAAAGCCUGACGCAGCGACGCCGCGUGCGGGAUGAAGGCCUUCGGGUCGUAAACCGCUUUUAUAAGGGACGAACUUUGACGGUACCUUAUGAAUAAGAGGUUGCUAACCCUGUG